Molecule: ribosomal RNA, 254 nt
Filed under: uncultured bacterium
Lineage: Bacteria
Description: partial 16S ribosomal RNA
Rfam family: Bacterial small subunit ribosomal RNA
Source: RNAcentral
UACGGGGGGAGCAAGCGUUGUUCGGAUUUACUGGGCGUAAAGGGCGGGUAGGCGGCCACCGCAAGUCGACUGUGAAAUCUCCGGGCUUAAUCCGGAAAGGUCAGCCGAUACUGCGGGGCUAGAGUGCAGAAGGGGCAACUGGAAUUCUCGGUGUAGCGGUGAAAUGCGUAGAUAUCGAGAGGAACACCUGCGGCGAAGGCGGGUUGCUGGGCUGACACUGACGCUGAGGCGCGAAAGCCAGGGGAGCGAACGGG